UGCUGCUUCGCUGACGAGUGGCGGACGGGUGAGUAAUGUCUGGGAAACUGCCUGAUGGAGGGGGAUAACUACUGGAAACGGUAGCUAAUACCGCAUAAUGUCGCAAGACCAAAGAGGGGGACCUUCGGGCCUCUUGCCAUCGGAUGUGCCCAGAUGGGAUUAGCUAGUAGGUGGGGUAACGGCUCACCUAGGCGACGAUCCCUAGCUGGUCUGAGAGGAUGACCAGCCACACUGGAACUGAGACACGGUCCAGACUCCUACGGGAGGCAGCAGUGGGGAAUAUUGCACAAUGGGCGCAAGCCUGAUGCAGCCAUGCCGCGUGUAUGAAGAAGGCCUUCGGGUUGUAAAGUACUUUCAGCGGGGAGGAAGGCGAUAAGGUUAAUAACCUUGUCGAUUGACGUUACCCGCAGAAGAAGCACCGGCUAACUCCGUGCCAGCAGCCGCGGUAAUACGGAGGGCGCAAGCGUUAAUCGGAAUUACUGGGCGUAAAGCGCACGCAGGCGGUCUGUCAAGUCGGAUGUGAAAUCCCCGGGCUCAACCUGGGAACUGCAUUCGAAACUGGCAGGCUAGAGUCUUGUAGAGGGGGGUAGAAUUCCAGGUGUAGCGGUGAAAUGCGUAGAGAUCUGGAGGAAUACCG
This 637-nucleotide ribosomal RNA is filed under the name uncultured Pseudomonadota bacterium. RNAcentral's name for it is "bacterial SSU rRNA". It matches the Rfam family "Bacterial small subunit ribosomal RNA", at positions 78 to 711 of the family's 1533-position model. Lineage: Bacteria; Pseudomonadati; Pseudomonadota. The record is from RNAcentral.